Molecule: long non-coding RNA, 102 nt
Organism: Dipodomys spectabilis (banner-tailed kangaroo rat)
Lineage: Eukaryota; Metazoa; Chordata; Mammalia; Rodentia; Heteromyidae
Exons: 3
Source: RefSeq, a predicted model, not a curated record
GCUGGAAGCUGGAGGAACCCCACCUUGGACUUCUUGCCUUCACUAUUGCUGGCUAUGCAUCUACCAUACCAUCUCCUCUCUACGUCUGUUGGCUCAUGGAUC